This 55-nucleotide transfer RNA is filed under the name Bacteroidetes bacterium 13_1_20CM_4_60_6. RNAcentral describes it as "Bacteriodetes bacterium 13_1_20CM_4_60_6 tRNA-Lys". It matches the Rfam family "tRNA", at positions 8 to 61 of the family's 71-position model. From Rfam's summary of the family: Transfer RNA (tRNA) molecules are approximately 80 nucleotides in length. Their secondary structure includes four short double-helical elements and three loops (D, anti-codon, and T loops). Further hydrogen bonds mediate the characteristic L-shaped molecular structure. tRNAs have two regions of fundamental functional importance: the anti-codon, which is responsible for specific mRNA codon recognition, and the 3' end, to which the tRNAs corresponding amino acid is attached (by aminoacyl-tRNA synthetases). tRNAs cope with the degeneracy of the genetic code in two manners: having more than one tRNA (with a specific anti-codon) for a particular amino acid; and 'wobble' base-pairing, i.e. permitting non-standard base-pairing at the 3rd anti-codon position. The record is from RNAcentral. Lineage: Bacteria; Pseudomonadati; Bacteroidota.
UAGCUCAGUGGUAGAGCAGCGGCCUUUUAAGCCGAAGGUCGUGGGUUCGAUCCCC